Molecule: long non-coding RNA, 624 nt
Filed under: Olea europaea subsp. europaea
Lineage: Eukaryota; Viridiplantae; Streptophyta; Magnoliopsida; Lamiales; Oleaceae
Source: RNAcentral
CUCGGAAAAUGCUAACCAACGGAUAUUUCAGCAAAAGAAAAGGAGAAAUAAAGUCGGAGAUAACGAAGGUCACGACAUUUGUUUGAAUAGGGUUGAAAUAAUGACCCGUGCGCAAGAGUUGAAAGGAGCACUAGAUGAAUUACUUAGACUGGUUGGAAGCGGGCCUGAAAUGGAGCCCAUGAAAUUGGUACGUUGUCACAAGUGUGGGGUUGAGUUGGAUGAGGAUCAAACCGGUGAAAUACACGUACCGGGAUUGACUCAUAAGGAACUACCACCAACUACAGAACAUGCAAAGCAGGGAGGAGAUGAACAUUGUGAUUCUCAGGUGAGGAUGGAAGCGGGAUACAAUGAAAACGAUGACAGGGUUGACUUUGUGGGGGUCAACCGAACUGAAGUAGACACAGGGAUUGCAGUUGAACGAGAAGAGGAACCGCUGUCUAAGGAAGGGGAGUUCAGUAUGGUGAACUUGGAGAAAUUGUCAAUGGACACAGUGAAAGAAAACAACGAUACACAAACGGCAUCAAGGAUUACGAACACUUAUAAUAGGAGGACAAAAGAUAACGAUAUGGGGACCGAAAAAGCUUUGGUGUUAUGGGUAGGUGGUGCCAAGAAAGGAGAAAGUGA